Molecule: non-coding RNA, 300 nt
Organism: Pelobates cultripes (western spadefoot toad)
Lineage: Eukaryota; Metazoa; Chordata; Amphibia; Anura; Pelobatidae
Source: the annotation of a GenBank genome assembly
UUCACAUAAAACUUACAUUUUCAGAAUCAGCAUACUCCAAAUACAAACAUACGUCAAAAUCAUACAAAUUGGUCCAUUGGUUCAAAAGAUAGAUCGAAGUCCUUUGUGACCAAAUGAAGCAUGGCUUUUCUGCCCAAAACCAGUUCCACAGAGUCUUCUAUCCUGGAGAUAAUUGGGAAGUAAUCCAAUUAUCUCCAAGGACAGAGGCAAAACUCCAUUAAGCACAUGGCAGUAAAAAGACAGUAAAAUACAAUAAAAUACACAAGGUUAUAUUUAUUACAUAAAAUACAGACAUGCAAC